Schizosaccharomyces pombe (fission yeast) is the source of this 216-nucleotide non-coding RNA. The record is from the annotation of a GenBank genome assembly. NCBI's taxonomy places the organism in Eukaryota, Fungi, Ascomycota, Schizosaccharomycetes, Schizosaccharomycetales, Schizosaccharomycetaceae.
UAAACAGAACUUUAAGCAAAAUACCACAUGACCACCUAUCUGCUAAAAGACCACAAUAUUCUAUCAAUUGAACUAUUAGUACGUCGUUUUUGAAAUAGGAUAGAGCUCGUCUUGCUACACAAUUUAUACACAUAAGACUUACCAUUUUCAUGAAAUGCUUCUGGUGCUAGAUAUGCCAAACUUCCAACAGCACCCGAUACGAAACGAAUGGAUUCG